This 27-nucleotide small RNA is filed under the name Bombyx mori (domestic silkworm). RNAcentral describes it as "ovarian small RNA-37112". Lineage: Eukaryota; Metazoa; Arthropoda; Insecta; Lepidoptera; Bombycidae. The record is from RNAcentral.
UUCCACAGUAGGUUCGGCGACGACAGC